Molecule: ribosomal RNA, 514 nt
Filed under: uncultured bacterium
Lineage: Bacteria
Description: bacterial SSU rRNA
Rfam family: Bacterial small subunit ribosomal RNA
Source: RNAcentral
GAUCCUGGCUUAGGAUGAACGCUAGCUACAGGCUUAACACAUGCAAGUCGAGGGGCAGCAGGACGAUAGCUUGCUAUGUUGCUGGCGACCGGCGCACGGGUGAGUAACGCGUAUCCAACCUUCCCCUUAGUAGGGCAUAGCCCGGUGAAAAUCGGAUUAAUACCCUAUGUUGUGUCAUGAGGACAUCUGAAUAACACUAAAGAUUUAUCGCUAAGGGAUGGGGAUGCGUCCGAUUAGGUAGUCGGCGGGGUAACGGCCCACCGAGCCCUCGAUCGGUAGGGGUUCUGAGAGGAAGGUCCCCCACACUGGUACUGAGACACGGACCAGACUCCUACGGGAGGCAGCAGUGAGGAAUAUUGGUCAAUGGGCGUAAGCCUGAACCAGCCAAGUAAGCGUGCAGGAUGACGGCCCUAUGGGUUGUAAACUGCUUUUAUACGGGGAUAAAGUGAGGGACGUGUCCCUUAUUGUAGGUACCGUAUGAAUAAGGACCGGCUAAUUCCGUGCCAGCCGCAGC